RNAcentral lists this ribosomal RNA (492 nucleotides) under uncultured bacterium. Its description in RNAcentral is "partial 16S ribosomal RNA". It matches the Rfam family "Bacterial small subunit ribosomal RNA", at positions 29 to 507 of the family's 1533-position model. The record is from RNAcentral.
AGUGAACGCUGGCGGUAGGCCUAACACAUGCAAGUCGAACGGCAGCACAGUAAGAGCUUGCUCUUACGGGUGGCGAGUGGCGGACGGGUGAGGAAUACAUCGGAAUCUACUUUUUCGUGGGGGAUAACGUAGGGAAACUUACGCUAAUACCGCAUACGACCUACGGGUGAGAGCAGGGGAUCUUCGGACCUUGCGCGAUUGAAUGAGCCGAUGUCGGAUUAGCUAGUUGGCGGGGUAAAGGCCCACCAAGGCGACGAUCCGUAGCUGGUCUGAGAGGAUGAUCAGCCACACUGGAACUGAGACACGGUCCAGACUCCUACGGGAGGCAGCAGUGGGGAAUAUUGGACAAUGGGCGCAAGCCUGAUCCAGCCAUACCGCGUGGGUGAAGAAGGCCUUCGGGUUGUAAAGCCCUCUUGUUGGGAAAGAAAAGCAGCAGGUUAAUACCCCGCUGUUCUGACGGUACCCAAAGAAUAAGCACCGGCUAACUUCGUG